This 74-nucleotide transfer RNA is filed under the name Bacteroidetes bacterium ADurb.Bin123. RNAcentral describes it as "tRNA-Gln". It matches the Rfam family "tRNA". Rfam says of the family: Transfer RNA (tRNA) molecules are approximately 80 nucleotides in length. Their secondary structure includes four short double-helical elements and three loops (D, anti-codon, and T loops). The record is from RNAcentral. Lineage: Bacteria; Pseudomonadati; Bacteroidota.
UGUCCUGUGGUGUAAUUGGCAACACGUCUGACUCUGGAUCAGAAGAGUUCAGGUUCGAGCCCUGACAGGACAAC